RNAcentral lists this ribosomal RNA (259 nucleotides) under uncultured bacterium. RNAcentral describes it as "partial 16S ribosomal RNA". It matches the Rfam family "Bacterial small subunit ribosomal RNA", at positions 793 to 1055 of the family's 1533-position model. The record is from RNAcentral.
GUCCACGCCGUAAACGAUGAGCACUAGCUGUCGGGGGUAUCGACCCCCCGGUAGCGCAGCUAACGCGAUAAGUGCUCCGCCUGGGGACUACGGCCGCAAGGCUAAAACUCAAAGGAAUUGACGGGGCCCGCACAAGCAGCGGAGCGUGCGGUUUAAUUCGAAGCUACGCGAAGAACCUUACCAGGGCUUGACAUGCACGGGACAGCCGGUGAAAGCCGGUCUCCUUCGGGUCCGUGCACAGAUGCUGCAUGGCUGUCGU